UGGGCUCCACUGGCAAUAAAUACACCACACCUUGACUGACUCUCAGGUGUGGCAAUGUGUCCGCGCAAUUAUGAGUUCAGCAAAGCCAUAACGUUUACCUCUUUCACUGAAAAGUUACUGUACUUUUACAAAGACAUUGAAAAGUUUGUCGGCCCGUGAACCAAAUACCAUCAACAAGGUAACGUUACACAUUCGUUGCUUCGUAUUCUACAUGCAUUCCUGUCUCAAGUUGUGUUUACCACUUCAUCGCAUGAAUCUAAGCAAGACAAACGUGGUGAUAUUGGAGCAGUUUAAAUGUGUUCUUACUGCUACUAUCAGGAAACUUGGCACUGUGAACCUACACAGCAACAACAUGGAGCAAAGAGAGGAGGCGCAAGAAGAGGAGAAGGACAUUUACAUUCCCAGGUCACCUCCCAGGAAUGCUCAUGGCACAAAUGAAGUCUUUGGGAACCCCACAUUAGCUGCUGAUGACAGACCAGCCCCGCCCAGCAGCCUGGCUCUGAUGGAGCCCCGACCCAGGAAGAAACGCCUGAUGGCCCCUGCACUAAGUCUGACACUGGAGCGCAGUGACUCGGCGGUGUCCGACGACUAUGCCACAGCUGCCCUCAUUCCCUCCCCCGACGACGACGACCUGAGACUGGACAUCGACUUGGACGCUAUGGAAACACCCUCGGACAGCGAGUCCCUCCACUUUCCAGUGCACGACAUGGAUUUGGAGGAUGACCUGCUUCAUCUGGGAGUGGCAUCACGUUGCCAUAAGGCCCGUGGGUCAGUACCAGAGCAGAUGGGAGUGGGCUCUCUUGACCAAGACCAGGUGGACAGCCAGGGCACUAGGUGGCGCAGGUUCUGCAUGGGAGACCCUCCUCAGGAGAGUCUGGUCAACAUGAGUGUACUGGAGCCUUACCUUCAAGUCUUGUCCCAUGGGGGUUACUAUGGAGAUGGGUCUAAUGACAUCAUUGUGUUCUCUUCCUGCUAUCUCCCUGAAAACACCAUGGAGAACUACCAGCAUGUCAUGGACAACCUAUUCAGGUACAUUGUGGGAACGUUGGACCUGAUGGUGGCGGAGAACUACGUCAUUGUGUACCUGUGUGCCAUGGCCCAGCGCAACAAGCUCCCCGGCAUUGGCUGGCUCAGAGAGUGUUACACCACCAUUGACAGAAGGUUGAGGAAGAAUCUGAAAGCUCUAUACAUUGUCCACCCGACCUGGUACAUCAAGGCCCUGAUCACCAUCAUCAAGCCCUUCAUCAGGUGAGGACCACCAUCCCCUGAGACACCAAGUCCAGUCUGUCAGGGUUGCUGUUGUUGCUCCAAAUUCGGUCGCAAGCUUCAGUUUAUGGACAGAUUUCGGGAGCUGUCCCAGCACAUCCCUAUUGAGCGUGUGCAGAUCCCUGACUGUGUCAGACAGUUUGACGAGAACAUGGACAGGUGACACACUCAGAAUGGUGAUCUGGAACACGGUGUAAGGUUAGGUACAUGAAGCCAAAAAAGUGGACUAAAAAGGCUCAAAUCUGGCAACCCAUGACUUUGAAACUGAGGAUGAACCUGGCUGCCCAAUCUGAUAUCUGUUGUCCUAUGAGAUAACUUUAGUCAUACAUCACUUGGCAAAGUAUCUACUGAAGGACCACAAGUAGAUGCACUGAGUGUACAAAAACUUUAUGAACACCUGCUCUUUCCAUGACAUAAUGUCGACUGACCAGGUGAAAGCUAUGAUCCAUUAUUGAUGUCACUUGUUAAAUACACUUCAGUCAGUGUUGAUGAAGGGGAAGAAACAGGUUAAAGAAGGAUUUGGGCAAGACAAAAGAUUAAAGUGCCAGGCGCACCAGUUCGUGUCAAGAACUGCAAUGCUGCGGAGUUUUUCAUGCUCAACUGUGUCCCGUGUGUAUCAAAAAUGGUCCACCAUCCAAAGGACAUCCAGCCAACAUUACACAACUGUGGGAAGCAUUGGAGUCAACAUGGGCUAGCAUCCCUGUGGAAUGUUCGACACCUUGUAGAGUCCAUGUCCCAACGAAUUGCGGCUGUUCUGAGGGCAAAGUGAGGGUGCAACUCAAUAUUAGGAUGUUCUUGCUGUUUUGUACACUCAGUUGUGAGUACAUUGUAACAAUGUGUACAUACACUAAUUAUUACAUUACUAUCUACCAUGUACAGUGGCGACCGGUCAUUCAGGGCAAGUGGGGCAGAGCCCCAGCUGUUUUGAGCCCAACAUUUUUGGGGCUUUCCUGUUUUGCAUGUUAUUAUGGCGUUAAUACUUGUCACAUAUCAGUUUGCAAACAAUGUAAAAAAUAUAUCAUUGAGUUAAUAAAGCUGCAUACAAACAUGGCCUCUUUUUUGUUUUCUUGAGUAAGUCAGCUCCAAAAAACCGGUGUUUCAGCUUAGCUCAGUGUUUUCUGUGGUGGUGGGGCAAGCCAGCAG
This is a non-coding RNA of Salmo salar (Atlantic salmon), 2409 nucleotides long. The record is from RefSeq and is a predicted model, not a curated record. NCBI's taxonomy places the organism in Eukaryota, Metazoa, Chordata, Actinopteri, Salmoniformes, Salmonidae.